CAAAUUUAUUUAUUUAUAAAAUAUUUUACCAGGAAGGAUACAUUGAGAUUUCUCUUGUUUUCAAGUAUGCCCUGGGCCCACAAACAUUGCAUUUUUACAAUAGGAUACAAUAUUACAAAAAUUUAACACAUAACAAGUGAUAAAUAUAUUCAACCAUGAUAGGUGCAUUCUGUGCUGAGGUAUAUCAUCAUAUAUUUCUUAAACUAUUUUAGAUUGAAUGAAGAUUUGACUGUGUCCCGGAGGUUAUUCCAUAUUUCCCUAUUGUAGGAAAAUGAGGAUCGAGCCAUUUUAUUUUUGAAUUUCGGUAUGCUAAAUAUCGUGCUAGUACUGGAGUGAAGGUGGAAACAGCUGGGGAGAGCAUUCUACUCAGGUAGGGUGGGAGCUUUCCAGAAAAGCUCUUAUACACAAGGCUGGAAAGAUGAAGAGUGCGUUGGGAUUCCAUCGAUAGCCAGUUUAGCUCUUUUAACAUGUCACAAUGGUGGGUAAAGUAAUUACAUUCUAGUACAAAGCGGAAGAAUGAAUUAUAUACGUUAUUAAGGUGGGUUUGCGAUGUAGGUGCAUACACGACAUCCCCAUAAUAAGUGACCGGCUUUUUCAUUUGUUACAUUGUUUCCUUACUGUAGGACUUAGGCAGGAUUUGUUUCUGUACAUGGCACCUAGUUUUGGGUAAAGUUUAUAAGAGUUUUUUUUUUUUUUUUCAAUGUGAUAACGGAGAAUCCUUUUUAUUAUUAAAGUAAUGCUGUAGGCACCCGGACCACUUCGGCUCAUUGAAGUGGUCUGGGUACAAUGUCCCAUGUCCCUUAACCCUAAAGUGGUAAUUAUUGCAGUUUCUCAGAAACUGCAAUAAUUACCUCUGAGGGUUAACUCCUCCACUAGUCGCUGUCUACCAGACAGCCACUAGAGGGACUUCCGGAGUUGAAACGGACCUUUGGAGGUCCUCAUGCGUCAGAUUUUCCCCAUAGGAAAGCAUUGCUGCGCAUGCACAUUAGGUCUCCCCCGUCAGCAGGGGAGGAGUGUGGGUGGAUUCUACUAAGCGAGGAGGUAAAUCAGCUGGAUUCAGGUAAGUGAAGGGUUUUUAACUCCUUCAGUACCAUAGGAGGGAGGGGGGCACUGCAGGAGCCUAUAGUCAUCCAGGAGCCAAAUCUCUCCCAAAUCGUUUGACAAAAAAAAAAAAAGUUAGGGGGAAUGAAAUGUAAAAGAUUUGUGAAGUGGCCAUACAUUGCUAUCAUUCUUACAGCAAAAUUUAUGCUGAAGUGCUUUAUGUGUGUGUUAAGUGUAUCUUAUUCCCCUUUUCAUUUUACAUAGAAAUUGGCACUUUUAUAUAUUAAAUACACCCCUGGUUGUCAGACAACCACUACUGUUACUUCCUAUCUUAAGGCAGGCAAUUGCCCAGAGCACCUGCCGCCUUGCAAAGACUUCUCAUUAAGCUGGAUUGGGAAGUCUGAUUGGACAGCUAUAGAAAGUAUUGGUGGGGUUAGAAAGGAAGGGCUUGAAAAGGCAGUAGACAAGAGAUCUGCAGCUUUUGCAAGUUGUUCUAAGAUAUAUCCCCAAUGAAAAAUGCAUAAUUAGAUUCAUGCUUAUUUUCAUUAGGGGUAGGGAUGGGCCGAUAUUGAUUUUUUUUAGAGCCGAUGCCGAUAAUCUGUGAUCUUUCAGGCCGAUAACUUACCGAUACUCUGUACAUUUACCAUUUAAAAAAAUAUAUAGAUUUCUUUACACAAAUCUACUGUUAACUGAACAUGUUUUUCAUUUAUUUGCAAAAAAUAUUUAUUAAGGUAAAUGUACAGAAUAUAUUUCUGUGUGUGUAGUGGAUGCAGUGAGAGUAUUUGAUUAGUGAAUGCAGUGUGUGUAUGUGUGUUUGUGUACUGGAUGCGUAGUGUGUGUAUAUAAUGAAUGCAGAGUGUGUUUGUGUAGUGUGUAUAGUGAAUGCAGUGUGUGUAUAUAAUGAAUGCAGAGUGUGUUUGUGUAGUGUGUAUAGUGAAUGCAGUGUGUGUAUAUAAUGAAUGCAGAGUGUGUUUGUGUAGUGUGUAUAGUGAAUGCAGAGAAUGUGUGCUUGUGCAGUGAGUGUUUGUGCAGGUAUGUUAAGUGUGUAAAACUUUUCUUUAAAAAAAAAAAAAGUUACAUUGUUU
RNAcentral lists this long non-coding RNA (2126 nucleotides) under Pelobates cultripes (western spadefoot toad). The record is from RNAcentral. Lineage: Eukaryota; Metazoa; Chordata; Amphibia; Anura; Pelobatidae.